UUAAGCAUCUUAUUUAAAAAGGGAGGUUUUCUCCUCGAAAAAAUCACUCCGGAAUAAGCUGCCUCUUUACACAGACAAAGACUAACAAAAUUAUAAAGCUCUUUAAAAAAUCUCUUAAAACUUUAACACGUUUUUUGGCAAAUCCUCAUAAAUAUCUAAAAUGUCACACCUUGCUCUCCCCACAUUUCUCAUUUUCGCCGUGACCACCUCCUCUACGAUCGCAGACUUUCGUCACUUUUCCAUCAAAAUAAAUUCGAACUCUCGACUAGAUUCGAAUUCUGCCGGUCAAGUGUACAUUAACUCCCCGAACGACGGUCAGUACCAAGUUUGGUCGUGGAAUGUGGACCACACCAUUCGCAACGUGGCGACCGGGCUUUGCCUCGACUCGCAGGGGUACAGCUCAUCAAGCGUUAUCACCACGACCUGCAACGCGGCGUCCAGGUCGCAGCAAUGGUUCGGCGGACCGAACAUGGGCCAAUUGUUCAACGCGGCGACGAUUUGGUGCCUUCACGUCGACACGAACUAUGCGACAAAAGUUGUCACGACUUGCUGUGGCGUUGGUGGGACGGUGUAUCAGACGUGGGGACUUUAAAUUAAGUUAAUGGAAUGUGGCAAAUUUUGUACAAAUUUUUUUCACAAUUAUAUGCGACGAAAUUGUUAUGAUUGUGAGAUUAUAUACAUAUAUAUUAAUUUAUCAAGUAAUUAUCUAAUAAUUUAUGCAAGGUUAACGAAUAAAUCUGAAAAUAAAUUACAUUGCUAAA
Molecule: long non-coding RNA, 761 nt
Organism: Folsomia candida
Lineage: Eukaryota; Metazoa; Arthropoda; Collembola; Entomobryomorpha; Isotomidae
Exons: 2
Source: RefSeq, a predicted model, not a curated record